This 280-nucleotide long non-coding RNA is filed under the name Eucalyptus grandis. RNAcentral's name for it is "long non-coding RNA (EGRA_LNC007174)". Lineage: Eukaryota; Viridiplantae; Streptophyta; Magnoliopsida; Myrtales; Myrtaceae. The record is from RNAcentral.
CCAAUCACCAAGCAACGCCACAGAAACCACAAAACCCCAGCUCCAUCGUCAGAGUAAUUUCAUCGAACUCCCAGUGGGCAUAGUAAUUCGUGACGAAAAAACAAAUCCAAAACAGAGGAAGCGGACAAAGGGUAUCGAGAACGGACUGAGAUGUAAGAGCAAGCUGGGACGACCAAGGACAUGGAGUUGGUCUUGGUGGGUUGGCAUGCGGAGACGCAGAGGCGUAAAGCCAAGCCCAGCCCUCGCCUCGAGGUGGGAUCGCUCUGCCGCCGUCUCGGAG